UACGUAGGGGGCAAGCGUUAUCCGGAUUUACUGGGUGUAAAGGGAGCGUAGACGGCAGCGCAAGUCUGGAGUGAAAUGCCGGGGCCCAACCCCGGAACUGCUCUGGAAACUGUGAAGCUGGAGUGCAGGAGAGGUAAGCGGAAUUCCUGGUGUAGCGGUGAAAUGCGUAGAUAUCAGGAGGAACAUCGGUGGCGAAAGCGCUUUACUGGACCAUUAUUGACGCUGAGGAACGAAAGCCAGGGGAGCAAAUGGG
This 253-nucleotide ribosomal RNA is filed under the name uncultured Eubacteriales bacterium. Its description in RNAcentral is "uncultured Clostridiales bacterium partial 16S ribosomal RNA". It matches the Rfam family "Bacterial small subunit ribosomal RNA", at positions 524 to 776 of the family's 1533-position model. Lineage: Bacteria; Bacillati; Bacillota; Clostridia; Eubacteriales. The record is from RNAcentral.